GAGUUUAUCCUGGUCAGGACGAACGCGGCGGCGUGCUUAACACAUGCAAGUCGAGCGGAAAGGCCCUUCGGGGUACUCGAGCGGCGAACGGGUGAGUAACACGUUAGUAACCUGCCCCUGACUCUGGGAUAAGCCUGGGAAACUGGGUCUAAUACCGGAUACGACCAUUUCUCGCAUGGGAUGGUGGUGGAAAGUUUUUUCGGUUGGGGAUGGGCUCGCGGCCUAUCAGCUUGUUGGUGGGGUGAUGGCCUACCAAGGCGACGACGGGUAGCCGGCCUGAGAGGGCGACCGGCCACACUGGGACUGAGACACGGCCCAGACUCCUACGGGAGGCAGCAGUGGGGAAUAUUGCACAAUGGGCGAAAGCCUGAUGCAGCAACGCCGCGUGGGAGAACCGGCUUCGGGUUGUAAACCUCUUUCAGCAGGGACGAAGUUGACGUGUACCUGUAGAAGAAGCACCGGCUAACUACGUGCCAGCAGCCGCGGUAAUACGUAGGGUGCGAGCGUUGUCCGGAAUUAUUGGGCGUAAAGAGCUCGUAGGCGGCUUGUUGCGUCUGCCGUGAAAGCCCGUGGCUUAACUACGGGUCUGCGGUGGAUACGGGCUGGCUAGAGGUAGGUAGGGGCAAGCGGAAUUCCUGGUGUAGCGGUGAAAUGCGCAGAUAUCAGGAGGAACACCGGUGGCGAAGGCGGCUUGCUGGGCCUUACCUGACGCUGAGGAGCGAAAGCGUGGGGAGCGAACAGGAUUAGAUACCCUGGUAGUCCACGCUGUAAACGUUGGGCGCUAGGUGUGUGGUCCUUCCACGGGUUCCGUGCCGUAGCUAACGCAUUAAGCGCCCCGCCUGGGGAGUACGGCCGCAAGGCUAAAACUCAAAGGAAUUGACGGGGGCCCGCCCAAGCGGCGGAGCAUGUGGCUUAAUUCGACGCAACGCGAAGAACCUUACCAAGGUUUGACAUACACCGGAAACACUCAGAGAUGGGUGCCUCCUUUGGACUGGUGUACAGGUGGUGCAUGGCUGUCGUCAGCUCGUGUCGUGAGAUGUUGGGUUAAGUCCCGCAACGAGCGCAACCCUUGUUCCAUGUUGCCAGCACGCCCUUUGGGGUGGUGGGGACUCAUGGGAGACUGCCGGGGUCAACUCGGAGGAAGGUGGGGAUGACGUCAAGUCAUCAUGCCCCUUAUGUCUUGGGCUGCAAACAUGCUACAAUGGCCGGUACAGAGGGUUGCGAUGCCGUGAGGUGGAGCGAAUCCCUAAAAGCCGGUCUCAGUUCGGAUUGGGGUCUGCAACUCGACCCCAUAAUCGGAGUAUCCUGAAUCGCAGACAGCAACGUGCGCGUAAAUGCUCGUU
RNAcentral lists this ribosomal RNA (1343 nucleotides) under uncultured prokaryote. RNAcentral describes it as "partial 16S ribosomal RNA". It matches the Rfam family "Bacterial small subunit ribosomal RNA", at positions 9 to 1372 of the family's 1533-position model. The record is from RNAcentral.